UGGGGAAGUAUUGCACAAUGGGGGGAACCCGUGAUGCAGCGACGCCGCGUGAGUGAAGAAGUACCUCGGUAUGUAAAGCUCUGUCAGCAGGGAAGAAAGAAAUGACGGUACCUGACCAAGAAGCACCGGCUAAAUACGUGCC
Molecule: ribosomal RNA, 142 nt
Filed under: uncultured bacterium
Lineage: Bacteria
Description: partial 16S ribosomal RNA
Rfam family: Bacterial small subunit ribosomal RNA
Source: RNAcentral